GCAAACUUGGUCAUUUAGAGGAAGUAAAAGUCGUAACAAGGUCUCCGUAGGUGAACCUGCGGAGGGAUCAGCCCGAGGUCGGGGGGGCCGGAAGCUCCCCCAGUCCAAACCCGUGGAAAAAGCCCGUGCGGCGGCGUCAGCGAAGGUGGGUUUUUUUUCAUUUGUCUUUUUUUGGAAACGCCGAGGAAAAAAACUUUCAACAAAGGAUCUCUUGGCUCUCUAGAGGAAGUAAAAGUCGUAACAAGGUCUCCGUAGGUGAACCUGCGGAGGGAUCAGCCCGAGGUCGGGGGGGCCGGAAGCUCCCCCAGUCCAAACCCGUGGAAAAAGCCCGUGCGGCGGCGUCAGCGAAGGUGGGUUUUUUUUCAUUUGUCUUUUUUUGGAAACGCCGAGGAAAAAAACUUUCAACAAAGGAUCUCUUGGCUCUCACAUCGAUGAAGAACGCAGC
This 445-nucleotide unclassified non-coding RNA is filed under the name uncultured fungus. RNAcentral describes it as "partial contains small subunit ribosomal RNA, internal transcribed spacer 1, and 5.8S ribosomal RNA". The stretch from base 1 to 73 matches the Rfam family "Eukaryotic small subunit ribosomal RNA", at positions 1759 to 1831 of the family's 1831-position model. Lineage: Eukaryota; Fungi. The record is from RNAcentral.